Molecule: RNA transcript, 2852 nt
Organism: Hordeum vulgare subsp. vulgare (domesticated barley)
Lineage: Eukaryota; Viridiplantae; Streptophyta; Magnoliopsida; Poales; Poaceae
Gene name: long-chain-alcohol oxidase FAO1-like
Exons: 4
Source: RefSeq, a predicted model, not a curated record
GGCUGGACGGAUAACAUGCCGGAAGUUGCCCUGCUGCUGCGUCACUACUCACUAGUUAGUUGGUGACCGGUAUUAAAUAACGAGAUUGACAUCCAUCAACCCUCGAUCUAUCUAUCUAUACAGACUAAUGCGCGCGCAAAGCCACACGGAAGUCUAGUCGUGGAACCUGAAACACACACACGGAGUCCGGUGGCAGCUCUCGCGGGGGUAACUGAUGGCGGCGCCGGAGGGGGAGGAGAAGGCGGCGACGGGACACCCGCUUCUGCGGGUGCUCAGGCGGGACAAGUACACGCACGGGCUCUACCCGGCGCAGAUGGAGGCCCUCCGGGCCAUGUGCGACGCGCUUAUCCCGUCGCUGCCACCGGAGGAGGCCCUCGACGGGCGCCGGGACACGCCACGCGACAAGGACCUCGAGCGGUUCUACCUCGCAUCCGGCGCCGACUCCACCAUUCCCGACGAGGUGGCGGAGCUGGCCUUCACCCGGUGCGUGUGGGAGGCAGGGCUGCUGGUGCAUGUCACGCUCUGGCUCCUGUGCACGCGGCUCGGCACGCUGGCACUGUGCGGCCGGCUGUGCGUCUCCGGCGAGUUCCCGUACGUGCGGCGCUUCGCUGACAUGCCGGUGGGGAGGCGGGAGGAGGCGCUCGGGCGCUGGACCAGGGCGCGGUGGCUCAUCCCCGUCAAGAUCGCCUUCGCCAUUGUCAAGAGCCUCUGCUUCAACGUCUUCUACACCAAGGUGAACGAAAACUCUGAGAACCCAUGCUGGAAAGCAAUAGGGUUCAGCGUGCCGAACGUGAAAGAGCAACGAAAGAAACAUCCAACGGAAGCGGCAGCGCUGCGGCCUCUGGACAAGGGCGUCGUGGAGACGAGGGAGCUGGACGACGCCACCCUGCUCAGAUCACUCGCGGACAAGGGCCUCGCAGUCAAGCCGGCCACGUCGGGCUAUUAUCACGCGGUGGAAUGCGACGUCGUCAUCGUCGGUUCAGGCUGCGGCGGCGGCGUGGCCGCCGCGGUGCUCGCGUCCGUGGGGCACAAGGUGCUCGUUGUCGAGAAGGGGGACUACUUCACCCCCGAUGACUACAGCUCCGUCGAGGGCCCGUCCAUGGAGCGCCUCUACGAGCAGGGAGGCAUCUUCUGCACGUCCAACGUCACGACCGUCCUGUUCGCCGGCACCACCGUCGGCGGCGGCUCGGCGGUGAACUGGUCCGCCAGCAUCCGCACGCCACGGGAGGUCCUGCUGGAGUGGUCGCGCGACCACGGGCUCCCGGUGUUCGGUAGCGCGGGCUACGUGCAGUCCAUGGACGCCGUCUGCGCCCGGCUCGCCGUCACCGACGGGUGCCGGGAGGAAGGGUUCCAGAACAAAGUGGUGCGCCGCGGGUGCGAGGCGCUCGGGUUGCCUGUUGACUGCGUGCCGCGCAACUCCUCCGAGGGCCACUACUGCGGGAACUGCUACCUGGGCUGCCCCACCGGCGACAAGCGCGGCACCGACACGACGUGGCUCGUCGACGCCGUCCAGGACGGCGCGGUGAUCCUGGCCGGGUGCAAGGCCGAGCGCUUCAUCCUCCAGAACAACAUCAACGGCAAGAACGGGCGGAGCAAGAAAUGCGUCGGCCUGGUGGCCACGUGCGUGGGCAGCGGCAUCACCAAGAAGCUGCGCAUCGAGGCCAAGGUGUCCAUCUCGGCGUGCGGGGCGCUCAUGACGCCGCCGCUGCUCCGCAACAGCGGCCUCAGAAACCGGCACGUCGGCCGGAACCUGCACCUCCACCCGGUGUCAAUGGCGUGGGGGUACUUUCCGGACACGAACCAGGUGCCCCAGCUCACCGGCAAGUGCUACGAAGGCGGUAUCAUCACGAGCAUGCACCGCGUCACCGAGCGCACCAUCAUCGAGACGCCAGCGCUGGGGCCGGGGGCCUUCGCCUCGUUGGUCCCGUGGGAGUCGGGCCGCGACAUGAAGGAGAGGAUGCGCCGGUACGCCCGCACCGCGCACGCGUUCGCGCUGGUCCGCGACCGCGCCGCGGGGAGCGUGUACGGCGAGGGCCGCGUGCACUACAGCCCGAGCCGCGACGACAUCGAGGAGCUCCGCGACGGCCUGCGCCGCGCCCUGCGCAUCAUGGUGGCCGCCGGCGCGGCCGAGGUGGGCACGCACCGCAGCGACGGGCUGCGGCUGCGGUGCAAGGGCGUGCAGGACAAGGACCUGGAGGCGUUCCUGGACGAGGUGACCGUGCCGAGGGGGCCGAUGCAGCCGGGCACGGACACGUGGGCGCUCCUCUGCUCGGCGCACCAGAUGGGCAGCUGCCGGAUGGGCUCCAGCCCCAAGGAGGGCGCCGUCGACGGCAGAGGCGAGAGCUGGGAGGCCGAGGACCUGUACGUCUGCGACGGCAGCCUCCUCCCGACUGCCGUUGGUGUGAACCCCAUGAUCACCAUACAGUCUCUCGCCUACUGCCUCGCCAUGGAUAUCGCCCAGUCCUUGGCAUAGAGCGAGAAACAGAAGCGGAGCAUGUAUGAUGUGUGUUCGUUGUUGGUUAAUCACAAGUGCCAUCCGCACAGCAUUCUUAGGGCUUGUUGGGAGUCACUUCCAUUCCGUGACUCCGCUCCCGGAUCAGCCGGAGCCGUUGUUUAAAUUUAUGAAGCGGGAAAACAGGUAUUCCGUGGAUCCAUAAAUUUGACGAAGCUGAAGGUUUCCUCGGCUCAUUAACCUCGUGAUCCCUAAGCUUGGUAGGUCCAGAGCGCUUAUUCACGAGAAUUGGCACAAACAUCUAAUAGGCAUCUAAAUUUCUCAAGAACCGUGGCUACAAAAUUAUAAAUGGUACUCUCUCUAAUCCUUAAUAUAAAAUGUUUUUGCAGUUUAAUGUGAA